Transfer RNA from Hanseniaspora osmophila, 71 nucleotides. It matches the Rfam family "tRNA". Rfam says of the family: Transfer RNA (tRNA) molecules are approximately 80 nucleotides in length. Their secondary structure includes four short double-helical elements and three loops (D, anti-codon, and T loops). Lineage: Eukaryota; Fungi; Ascomycota; Saccharomycetes; Saccharomycodales; Saccharomycodaceae. The record is from Rfam.
GCACUGGUGGUUUAGUGGUAAAAUCUAAGUUUCCCAUACUUAGGCCCCGGGUUCGAUUCCCGGCCAGUGCA